GCUUUAAAUUGAUUAUAAAUUUUUAUUAUUAAUAUUUUAAUUUAGUUUAUUUUAAAAC
Molecule: transfer RNA, 58 nt
Filed under: Orseolia oryzae (Asian rice gall midge)
Lineage: Eukaryota; Metazoa; Arthropoda; Insecta; Diptera; Cecidomyiidae
Description: tRNA-Tyr
Source: RNAcentral